CCCCCAUUGGAAAUUUUCACUAGAAACUAUAGUGACUGUUCGGAGCCUUCAGCCACACAACAAUCUAAAGAAGGAUACAUAAAUCUGAAAAGAAAUAGACAAGUGCUAUUGCUAUUAAUUUCAUCACAGAAGCUCUCUACAAGAUUCUCAAAUGAUCUUAAUAGUUUUGGGCUGUCGGACACAACUUUCAUGCUGUAGUGAUAGAUAAGUUAAAAACAGCACUUCCAUAUCCUGUCACUAAUGAUCUGAGGGUGAUUGCUGUCGUUCUUCUGAUCCCUGCUGUGGCCAUAUCUGUUGCGCCAUAUAGGCAUGAGACUGCUGGGCAUAGAUCAUCCCAGGAGUUCCAACUUGAGCUACAUGCUGAGGUGGCAUAUAACCAUAAGGAAGUGCAUCAGCAGGCCCUCCAACAGGCAUUGCUUCCCUAGAUAUUGAUGCCAGUACUUCAUCUUUCAGAUCCUCCCUCGGCACAAUGUCAACUAAGAAAUCAAAAAUAUCAGUCCUAGUGAUGGCUGCUGC
RNAcentral lists this unclassified non-coding RNA (516 nucleotides) under Hevea brasiliensis (rubber tree). Lineage: Eukaryota; Viridiplantae; Streptophyta; Magnoliopsida; Malpighiales; Euphorbiaceae. The record is from RNAcentral.